Molecule: ribosomal RNA, 285 nt
Filed under: uncultured Staphylococcus sp.
Lineage: Bacteria; Bacillati; Bacillota; Bacilli; Caryophanales; Staphylococcaceae
Description: partial 16S ribosomal RNA
Rfam family: Bacterial small subunit ribosomal RNA
Source: RNAcentral
GUGCCAGCAGCCGCGGUAAUACGUAGGUGGCAAGCGUUAUCCGGAAUUAUUGGGCGUAAAGCGCGCGUAGGCGGUUCUUUAAGUCUGAUGUGAAAGCCCACGGCUCAACCGUGGAGGGUCAUUGGAAACUGGAAAACUUGAGUGCAGAAGAGGAAAGUGGAAUUCCAUGUGUAGCGGUGAAAUGCGCAGAGAUAUGGAGGAACACCAGUGGCGAAGGCGACUUUCUGGUCUGUAACUGACGCUGAUGUGCGAAAGCGUGGGGAUCAAACAGGAUUAGAUACCCUG